UUAGGGUUAGGAUUUGGUGAGGAUUUGAUUUAGAAAUAGGAUUUGGUUAGGAUUUGGUUUAUGGUUUAGGAUUAGGAUUAGGAUUUGGUUAGGAUUUGAUUUAAAGUUAGGAUUUGAUUAGUGUUUGAUUUAAGAUUAGGAUUUAGGUUAGGAUUUAGGAUUAGGGUUUGGAUUAGGAUUUAGGAUUUGGUUAGGAUUUGAUUUAGAAUUAAGAUUUGGUUUAAGAUUUAGAAUUUUAUUAAGAUUUGAUUUAGGAUUAGGAUUUGGUUUAGGAUUUAAUGUUUGGUUAGAAUUUGAUUUAGGAUUUAGGACUUGGUUAGGAUUUAGGAUUUGGUUUAGGAUUUAAGAUUUUAUUUAAAAUUAUUUAGGAUUUAAGUUUUAAUUAGUUUUUGGCCUAAAUUUUGAAUGAAGUCCAAUAAGAUUUCAACUAGAAUUAAAUUAAGAUUGAAUUGAGAUGUAUUUGAGUUAUUUUUGUAAUUAUUCUAAUAUUUCUUUAAGAUUUUUUAUUGUUUCUUUAGAAUUCCUUUGAGGUUUUUUUGAAUUUGAAUAAAACUUGUUUAGCAUUGUUAGUGUUCUAUUAAAAUUAGGAUUAUGUUAUUACAAUUUCUAUUCU
This 613-nucleotide long non-coding RNA is filed under the name Physcomitrium patens. RNAcentral describes it as "long non-coding RNA (PPAT_LNC014135)". The record is from RNAcentral. Lineage: Eukaryota; Viridiplantae; Streptophyta; Bryopsida; Funariales; Funariaceae.